UGGUUCUGGCAUCGAUGAAGAACGCAGCGAAAUGCGAUAAGUAAUGUGAAUUGCAGAAUUCAGUGAAUCAUCGAAUCUUUGAACGCACAUUGCGCCCUUUGGUAUUCCGAGGGGCAUGCCUGUUCGAGCGUCAUUUAAAACAUCAAGCGCAGCUUUGUCUUGAGCCAGGCCGCCCGGCCGGCUUGCAACUCUCUGGCGGCGACCGCCCGGCUUCAGGCGUAGCAAAAACCUCGCCUUGGAGUGAGCGCGCGGGGCCCGCAGACGUAGUAAACUAUUCAGAGUUUGACCUCGGAUCAGGUAGGGAUACCCGCUGA
Molecule: unclassified non-coding RNA, 314 nt
Filed under: uncultured fungus
Lineage: Eukaryota; Fungi
Description: partial contains 5.8S ribosomal RNA and internal transcribed spacer 2
Rfam family: 5.8S ribosomal RNA (bases 1-133)
Source: RNAcentral